GACGAACGCUGGCGGCAUGCCUAAUACACGCAAGUCGAACGCUCUUGUUUCCUUCGGGGAACAAGGGAGUGGCGGACGGGUGAGUAACACGUAGGCAACCUGCCUGUAAGUCGGGGAUAACUCACGGAAACGUGAGCUAAGACCGGAUGGACGAGGGGAAGGCAUCUUCUUCUUGGGAAAGACGGAGCAAUCUGUCGCUU
This 200-nucleotide ribosomal RNA is filed under the name uncultured bacterium. RNAcentral's name for it is "partial 16S ribosomal RNA". It matches the Rfam family "Bacterial small subunit ribosomal RNA", at positions 28 to 220 of the family's 1533-position model. The record is from RNAcentral.